GUGUAGUGGGUUACGGUGGUUAUGACGGGUAACGGAGAAUUAGGGUUUGAUUCCGGAGAAGGCGCAUGAGAAAUAGCGACUACUUUCAAGAAAGGCAGCAGGCGCGUAAAUUACCCAAUCCUGACACAGGGAGGUAGUGACAACAAAUAACAAUGGUUGUAUGAAAUGUAUGACUAAUUGGAAUGAGAACAAUUUAAAGCCCUUAUCGAGUAACAAUUGGAGGGUAAGUUCUGGUGCCAGCAGCCGCGGUAAUUCCAGCUCCAAUAGUGUAUACGAAUGUUGUUGCAGUUAAAACGCUCGUAGUUGGAAAUAGAUUUUGUCAAGACAGGAUAUGGAGAGAUCCAUGGAAAGUAUUGGGAAAAGAAUAAAUAUAAUAUAAACUCAGUAAAAUGAGGGAAUAUAAUUUACUUUGAAUAAAUUAGAGUGCUCCAAGCAAUCUGAAAAGAAAAUGGAAACAUUUCUCUUUUAUAUAAGAUGAUGGAAUAAUAAAGCAUGGGAUAAUAAAAAAGGAUUUGAAAGAAACAUUUUUGGUUGGUUUUGAUUUUUUUAAAUAAUGAUAAAUAGGAACGGUUGGGGGUAUUUGUAUUGAAUAGUCAGAGGUGAAAUUCAAGGAUUUGUUCAAGACAAACAUCAGCGAAAGCAUUUACCAAGGACGUUUCCAUUAAUCAAGAACGAAAGUUAGGGGAUCGAAGAUGAUCAGAUACCGUCGUAGUCCUAACCAUAAACAAUGCCGACCAAAGAUAAGAGGGUCGUAAUUUGGGCCUUGUUGGAAACGACAAGACACAAAUAAAACUCCUUUUGAAUUUUAGAGGGAAACCAGUAGUGUAUGGGUUCUGGGGGGAGUACGGUAGCAAGGCUGAAACUUGAAGGAAUUGACGGAAGGGCACCACCAGGUGUGGAACCUGCGGCUUAAUUCGACCCAACACGGGAAAACUUACCAGGUCCGGACACAGGAAGGAUUGACAGAUUGAUUUGUAUUAUUGUUGGCUCUUUCUUGAUUUCUGUGGGUGGUGGUGCAUGGCCGUUCUUAGUUCGUGGAACUGAUCUGUCUGCUUAAUUGCGUUAACGAACGAGACCUUUGUUUAUUAAUUAGUUUUAUCAUUUUUUUGUAAAAGAGAAUGGAUAAAAUUCUUUCGGAAAGGUAAAAGUUGAAUAGGAUAAGUAAUUAUUUUAAUCAAUGAAAACUGGGAAGAAAAAAUCAAUACUUCUUAAAAGGACUAUUCAUAUCCAGUGAAAGGAAGUUAAAGGCAAUAACAGGUCUGUGAUGCCCUUUAGAUGUUCUGGGC
RNAcentral lists this ribosomal RNA (1286 nucleotides) under metagenome. RNAcentral's name for it is "SSU rRNA". It matches the Rfam family "Eukaryotic small subunit ribosomal RNA", at positions 331 to 1487 of the family's 1831-position model. The record is from RNAcentral.